UACGUAGGCAGCAAGCGUUGUUCGGAAUUACUGGGCGUAAAGAGUGUGUAGGCGGUGCUCUAAGUUCGGUGUGAAAUCUCCCGGCUCAACUGGGAGGGUGCGCCGGAAACCGGGGUGCUGGAGCGCGGGAGAGGAAAGCGGAAUUCCUGGUGUAGCGGUGAAAUGCGUAGAUAUCAGGAGGAACACCGGCGGUGUAGACGGCUUUCUGGACCGUAGCUGACGCUGAGACACGAAAGCGUGGGUAGCAAACAGG
RNAcentral lists this ribosomal RNA (253 nucleotides) under uncultured bacterium. RNAcentral describes it as "partial 16S ribosomal RNA". It matches the Rfam family "Bacterial small subunit ribosomal RNA", at positions 524 to 776 of the family's 1533-position model. The record is from RNAcentral.